Molecule: ribosomal RNA, 323 nt
Filed under: uncultured bacterium
Lineage: Bacteria
Description: bacterial SSU rRNA
Rfam family: Bacterial small subunit ribosomal RNA
Source: RNAcentral
GACGAACGCUGGCGGCGUGCUUAACACAUGCAAGUCGAACGAGAAAGCCCUUCGGGGUGAGUACAGUGGCGAACGGGUGAGUAACACGUGGGCAACCUGCCCCAAGGAGCGGGACAACCCGGGGAAACUCGGGCUAAUACCGCAUGAUUCGCACAGUCUCAAGUCUGUGCGGCAAAUGGUAGCUUCGGCCUCCGCCUUGGGGAUGGGCCCGCGGCGCAUUAGCUUGUUGGUGGGGUAACGGCNCACCAAGGCGACGAUGCGUAGCUGGUCUGAGAGGACGAUCAGCCACACUGGGACUGAGACACGGCCCAGACUCCUACGGG